GACAGUGUGGUGUAGUGGUGUGAGCAUUGGACUAGGACUCUGGACUCUGGAGACCAGGGUUCAAAUCCUGGCCUGGCCA
Phrynosoma platyrhinos (Desert horned lizard) is the source of this 79-nucleotide non-coding RNA. The record is from the annotation of a GenBank genome assembly. Lineage: Eukaryota; Metazoa; Chordata; Lepidosauria; Squamata; Phrynosomatidae.